RNAcentral lists this long non-coding RNA (1612 nucleotides) under Vulpes vulpes (red fox). RNAcentral describes it as "lncRNA (ENSVVUG00000017961.1)". Lineage: Eukaryota; Metazoa; Chordata; Mammalia; Carnivora; Canidae. The record is from RNAcentral.
GGGAUGUCAUGCUCCAGGGUAGAGGUGGGUGGAGUUGGAUGGGCUCCAGAUGAUGGCCUUCUCUCUGCCCAAGCCAGCGAUCUGUGCUUUCCCGUCUCUACCAAAAUCCGGAGGAGGAUGCUGAGAUCCGCAUCAACGCCUACCUGGCCCUGAUGAGAUGCCCUGGCGAAGAGGUGUUUGCCCAGGUGCGGCACACCCAGGCAAGCGAGCAGUCCACCCAGGUGGGCUCCUUUGUGUGGAGUCACCUGAUGCAGCUGCUGGAAACUGAUGACCCUCUGAAGCGAGCUCUCCAGGAGGCCCUCCCUGAGGACAUCCUGAGCCAGGAGUUCCAGCCAGAGACCUGGAAACACUCAUCCUAUUCUGAUGUCACCUUCCGCUCAGUGUCUGGCAGCCUGGGAAUGAACCUGGAGCGGACCCUCCUCUUUUCUCCAGCUUCCUUUCUCCCCCGUUUUGCCAUGACUAACCUGACCAUCCAUGCCCUAGGUCAUGGCUUCAACCUCCUGGAGCUUGGCCUCCGCUUGGAAAAUGCAGAGAAAAUCAUCCACAGGCUGUUGGGCGGGAAGUCAUUCUGGGGGCAGGAAGAGGAGAGAGAGGGCCAGCCGGAGAAGUCCUCAGAGCCAGACCCAGGGCCCUCAGCACAGGCAGCCAAACCUGACUGUCCAGAAGAAAGGUCCAGAAAGAUGAGAGACCUGCAGCAGAAGGUGGCCCGGAGGCACGCGGAGCGGCGGGCGCUGCAGUGUGAGCUGAGUGUGAAGGUGUUCGGGCACGAGCUGAGCUAUGUGAACUGUGGGGUGAUGGGGAGCCACAUGAAACGCCAGUCCUUGCACCUGGCCGAGCUGGCAGUCAAACUCCUGAAGGGGCAGGAGGUACAGGUGAACCGGAGGCUGAACCUGGCCAUGCAGGAGCUCACCUUCCCCACGGUGUCUGGCCUUCCAGCCCGGCUGACCCUAAAUGCCUCGGCUGCCAUCGGCGUCCGAGUCCGGGGGACUGCCGACUUCCAGCAGCACCUGGAUUUCUCCGUGAAUGGUUAUGUCAAGCCCAGUGCCCUGCUCCAGAUCUCAGCGCAGAUGGGCACAGUGGGCGCCCUGGGGCAGGCCGGGCUGCGGUGGGUGACCAGCGUCCGUGGCACUGCCAGCCUGGAUGGUGGGAUUGAGGCGAGGAAGGGCCGGGACCUCCACGUGCACCUGAACACCCCCGAGGAGGCUGUGGAGCUGCUCAGCUUCAGCUCCAAGCUGUAUCUCAUCACUGGGGAUGGCGUGAGGAGCCUCAGUGAUGUCCACAGCUCUUCUGGGGCCCAGUCCUGUACUGACGAGAAAGCGUCCCACACCUGGGGCUGGCAGCUGUGCACAGAAGUCACCUGGCCGGCAGCUGGCCAGCCCUACCUGCUCUCAGGGCCUGUGUCUGCGGCUGUGACACUGAAGAAGCAGGAUCGGGGCCUCCAGCGAUACCUUCUGGAAGCUGCCUAUACCUUCCACCCCCAGAAGGACAGCUGGCUCCCUCUGGAAGCUUCAGCUCACCUCUUCAUGGGCACGCCCGAGUCAGACGUGCCCAGGGACGUCGGGGUAGACGUGAGCUACAGCGCACCCCAGGGGAAGUUCCGGCUCAAGCUUCA